CUGGACACAAAAAUGAAUGACAGUGUAGGUUGUAGAUACUGGUUUAGGUAAUAGCUGCUUGCUACUGCCCAGGUCCUGCAUUUAGUUAUCUUCAGGGUUUCAGGGUGCUGGAGAGUACCCAGUGAAAUGACCAACCCUCAUAUUACAGGGUUCUUUUUUUUUUCUUUUCUAGUGCAAAAUCCCACUCCAUCAAAAAAUUAAGCUGUUAAAAGGCCCUUGUCUGCUGUACAUAAUAUGCAUCUGACAGUGCUACAUUUGCUCCCUUGGACAACCAGGUGACCCCGUCCAAGGUUAAGCAUGAAUCCCCGAGGAAGAGCUAUGCACUAUGCUCCACAACAGGAGCAACGCCUCUCUGUGACUUGAGUGAAGGUAAGAGCUUUAUUAUUUCACACGCUCUGUGCAUGGGUUCACCACAUACACCCCUCUCUUUCUCAUAAACUCACUGCAUGCUGAGCAGCAAAAAGGAAAAGUUAAGUGGAAA
This 481-nucleotide long non-coding RNA is filed under the name Anas platyrhynchos platyrhynchos (common mallard). Its description in RNAcentral is "lncRNA (ENSAPLG00000022257.1)". The record is from RNAcentral. Lineage: Eukaryota; Metazoa; Chordata; Aves; Anseriformes; Anatidae.